This 91-nucleotide non-coding RNA is filed under the name Rhizobium tibeticum. RNAcentral describes it as "TPP sequence". It matches the Rfam family "TPP riboswitch aptamer (THI element)". From Rfam's summary of the family: Vitamin B(1) in its active form thiamin pyrophosphate (TPP) is an essential coenzyme that is synthesised by coupling of pyrimidine and thiazole moieties in bacteria. Lineage: Bacteria; Pseudomonadati; Pseudomonadota; Alphaproteobacteria; Hyphomicrobiales; Rhizobiaceae. The record is from Rfam by way of RNAcentral.
GAUGAGAGACAGGGGCGCCCUGGUGGGCUGAGAAGCACCCUUUGAACCUGAACCGGAUAAUGCCGGCGGAGGGAGUCGCUCGGGACUGUCG